AUGAAGAGCCGAUGGCUGGCCGGAGUCAUGACGGGGAUUGGCGGGUUCUGA
This 51-nucleotide small nucleolar RNA is filed under the name Pyrobaculum oguniense TE7. Its description in RNAcentral is "POGsR42". The record is from RNAcentral. Lineage: Archaea; Thermoproteati; Thermoproteota; Thermoprotei; Thermoproteales; Thermoproteaceae.